RNAcentral lists this ribosomal RNA (253 nucleotides) under uncultured bacterium. Its description in RNAcentral is "partial 16S ribosomal RNA". It matches the Rfam family "Bacterial small subunit ribosomal RNA", at positions 524 to 776 of the family's 1533-position model. The record is from RNAcentral.
UACAGAGGUCUCAAGCGUUGUUCGGAUUCAUUGGGCGUAAAGGGUGCGUAGGCGGCGCGGUAAGACGGGUGUGAAAUCUUGGAGCUUAACUCCGAAACUGCAUUCGAUACUGCCGUGCUUGAGGACUGGAGAGGAGACUGGAAUUUACGGUGUAGCGGUGAAAUGCGUAGAUAUCGUAAGGAAGACCAGUGGCGAAGGCGGGUCUCUGGACAGUUCCUGACGCUGAGGCACGAAGGCCAGGGGAGCAAACGGG